CGUACGUACGUACGACGACGUACGUACGCANCGCCGUCCCCGUUCCCCGUCCCGCCGCCACACACUACCUACGGACGGGCGAGCAGAGUUGGGAAUAUUGGACAAUGGGCGCAAGCCUGAUCCAGCAAUGCCGCGUGUGUGAAGAAGGCCUUCGGUUGUAAGCACUUUAUCAGGAGCGAAAUACUACCGGUUAAUAACCGGUGGGCUGACGGUACCUGACGGAUAAGCACCGGCUAACUUCGUGCCAGCAGCCGCGGUAAUUC
Molecule: ribosomal RNA, 263 nt
Filed under: uncultured bacterium
Lineage: Bacteria
Description: partial 16S ribosomal RNA
Rfam family: Bacterial small subunit ribosomal RNA
Source: RNAcentral